AAACUUUCAACAACGGAACUCUUGGUUCUGGCAUCGAGAAGAACGCAGCGAAAUGCGAUAAGUAAUGUGAAACGCAGAAUUCAGUGAAUCAUCGAAUCUUUGAACGCACAUUGCGCCCGCCGGUAUUCCGGCGGGCAUGCCUGUCCGAGCGUCAUU
RNAcentral lists this ribosomal RNA (156 nucleotides) under Gaeumannomyces tritici. RNAcentral describes it as "5.8S ribosomal RNA". It matches the Rfam family "5.8S ribosomal RNA". From Rfam's summary of the family: 5.8S ribosomal RNA (5.8S rRNA) is a component of the large subunit of the eukaryotic ribosome. Lineage: Eukaryota; Fungi; Ascomycota; Sordariomycetes; Magnaporthales; Magnaporthaceae. The record is from RNAcentral.